Molecule: ribosomal RNA, 1239 nt
Filed under: human gut metagenome
Description: bacterial LSU rRNA
Rfam family: Bacterial large subunit ribosomal RNA
Source: RNAcentral
GGGAAACCCCCUCGCCGAAAGACUAAGGUUUCCUGAUCAACGCUAAUCGGAUCAGGGUCAGUCGGGUCCUAAGGCUCAGCCGAACGGCGAUGCCGAUGGCAGAAACGGUUAAUAUUCCGUUACUACCUUCAGGAGUGACGUGGAGACGCAGUAGUGACAGUGCCGCCAUCUGACGGAAUAGAUGGUUGAAGGGUGUAGGAGUCGAUCAUGGCAGGCAAAUCCACCAUGAGAUCCGAACCUGAUAGUAUGCCGCGUCCUUCGGGACAAGGCAAUAGUGCGCGUAAGCAUGCUGCCGAGAAAAUCCGCUAAACUUAAUCCUGCAGGUACCCGUACCGCAAACGGACACACGUAGUCGGGAUGAAUAUUCUAAGGCGCUUGAGUGAUUCACGGUUAAGGAACUAGGCAAACUGACCCUGUAACUUCGGGAUAAAGGGUCCCUACCCUUUUAUGGGAGGGCGCAGAGAAUCGGUCCAGGCAACUGUUUAACAAAAACACAGGGCUGUGCCAAAUCGAAAGAUCCAGUAUACAGCCUGACACCUGCCCGGUGCUGGAAGGUUAAGAGGAGAUGUCAUCGAUAAGAGAAGCGUUGAAUUGAAGCCCCAGUAAACGGCGGCCGUAACUAUAACGGUCCUAAGGUAGCGAAAUUCCUUGUCGGGUAAGUUCCGACCUGCACGAAUGGUGUAAUGAUCUGGACGCUGUCUCAACCGUGAGCUCAGUGAAAUUGUAGUAUCGGUGAAGAUGCCGAUUACCCGCGAUGGGACGAAAAGACCCCGUGAACCUUUACUAUAGCUUAUCAUUGAAUCUGGGCACGUGAUGUGUAGGAUAGGUCGGAGGCUUUGAAGCAGGUACGCCAGUAUUUGUGGAGCCGCUGUUGAAAUACGACCCUUUAUUUGUUUGGAUUCUAACCCGUGGAUACGGGGACAUUGAUUGGUGGGUAGUUUGACUGGGGUGGUCGCCUCCAAAAGCGUAACGGAGGCUUCUAAAGGUGCCCUCACGACGAUUGGUAACCGUCGGCAGAGUGUAAUGGCAUAAGGGCGCUUGACUGGGAGACUUACAAGUCGAUCAGGUAGGAAACUAGAGCAUAGUGAUCCGGUGUUUCCGUAUGGAAGGGACAUCGCUCAAAGGAUAAAAGGUACUCCGGGGAUAACAGGCUGAUCCCUCCCAAGAGCUCAUAUCGACGGAGUGGUUUGGCACCUCGAUGUCGGCUCGUCACAUCCUGGGGCUGGAGAAGGUCCCAAG